UACGUAGGGUGCGAGCGUUAAUCGGAAUUACUGGGCGUAAAGCGUGCGCAGGCGGUGAUGUAAGACAGAUGUGAAAUCCCCGGGCUCAACCUGGGAGCUGCAUUUGUGACUGCAUCGCUGGAGUGCGGCAGAGGGGGAUGGAAUUCCGCGUGUAGCAGUGAAAUGCGUAGAUAUGCGGAGGAACACCGAUGGCGAAGGCAAUCCCCUGGGCCUGCACUGACGCUCAUGCACGAAAGCGUGGGGAGCAAACAGG
Molecule: ribosomal RNA, 253 nt
Filed under: uncultured bacterium
Lineage: Bacteria
Description: partial 16S ribosomal RNA
Rfam family: Bacterial small subunit ribosomal RNA
Source: RNAcentral